AACCCUCGCUGUGUGUUAUAUGUGUCACACGGGACUGCCGGUCUUAAGCCGGAGGAAGGUGGGGAUGAUGUCAAGUCAGCAUGGCCUUUAUAUCCUGGGCUACACACACGCUACAAUGGCCAACACAAUAGGUUGCUAAGCCGCGAGGUGGCGCCAAUCCAUAAAGUUGGUCUCAGUUCAGAUUGUAGGCUGCAACCCGCCUGCAUGAAGAUGGAGUUGCUAGUAACCGCAGGUCAGCUAUACUGCGGUGAAUACGUUCCCGGGGCCUU
RNAcentral lists this ribosomal RNA (269 nucleotides) under uncultured Leptolinea sp. RNAcentral describes it as "partial 16S ribosomal RNA". It matches the Rfam family "Bacterial small subunit ribosomal RNA", at positions 1100 to 1382 of the family's 1533-position model. The record is from RNAcentral. Lineage: Bacteria; Bacillati; Chloroflexota; Anaerolineae; Anaerolineales; Anaerolineaceae.